RNAcentral lists this ribosomal RNA (387 nucleotides) under Triticum aestivum (bread wheat). RNAcentral's name for it is "partial small subunit ribosomal RNA". The record is from RNAcentral. Lineage: Eukaryota; Viridiplantae; Streptophyta; Magnoliopsida; Poales; Poaceae.
AUGUCUCGCACAACCAAGCUCUUGUUCACUCUCAUCAGCCUUAUCAUAUUUCCAUUCUUCACAAAUGGUGCACUACAACCCCAGCAUCAGCAUGCCCAUGGCGACAGCUGCAUCCCGGCCGAGAGGGCCGCCUUGCUCUCCUUCAAAGAGGGCAUUACAAGCAACAACACCAACCUCCUCGCCUCGUGGAAAGGACAGGACUGCUGCCGGUGGAGAGGCGUCAGCCGCAGCAACCGAACAGGCCACGUCAUCAAGCUUCAUCUUCGCAAUCCGAAUGUGGCACUCGACACUUAUGGUGUUGAGGAUAUAGCUACUGGUGUAACCCGCCCGAGAUGGGCCGGGUUACGUUGCGACAGCCCUUCGUUCAGAAGCCCAAGGACAGGUUAA